GUUUACGGUAUAUAACUUUUUAUUGGUAGAGUAUUGCAAGUUAUUUCAUUACAACUACUCAAAUACCUCCUACAACCUAUCACUAUAUUAGUAUUAUAUUCAAGACAAUUAACAAAUUUGGUUGUGGAUUACCUGCAAUGCAUUGUAGCUGCCACAUGAUGCUGCCAUAUGAUUCGUCAUCAAAAUGCUGACGCCCAGGGCCGUGCCACCUUUGGGGGGGGGGGGGGGUAACACCCCCAAAAAAGUAAAUUAUGGAAAUUUCAGGGAAAUGUUGUUUUGCGAAAGAUUUUGG
Non-coding RNA from Paramuricea clavata, 292 nucleotides. The record is from the annotation of a GenBank genome assembly. Lineage: Eukaryota; Metazoa; Cnidaria; Anthozoa; Malacalcyonacea; Plexauridae.